RNAcentral lists this ribosomal RNA (3051 nucleotides) under Campylobacter jejuni. RNAcentral's name for it is "bacterial LSU rRNA". It matches the Rfam family "Bacterial large subunit ribosomal RNA". RNAcentral also lists the same sequence under 1 other name. The record is from RNAcentral. Lineage: Bacteria; Pseudomonadati; Campylobacterota; Epsilonproteobacteria; Campylobacterales; Campylobacteraceae.
GUAAGCUACUAAGAGCGAAUGGUGGAUGCCUUGACUGGUAAAGGCGAUGAAGGACGUACUAGACUGCGAUAAGCUACGGGGAGCUGUCAAGAAGCUUUGAUCCGUAGAUUUCCGAAUGGGGCAACCCAAUGUAUAGAGAUAUACAUUACCUAUAUAGGAGCGAACGAGGGGAAUUGAAACAUCUUAGUACCCUCAGGAAAAGAAAUCAAUAGAGAUUGCGUCAGUAGCGGCGAGCGAAAGCGCAAGAGGGCAAACCCAGUGCUUGCACUGGGGGUUGUAGGACUGCAAUGUGCAAGAGCUGAGUUUAGCAGAACAUUCUGGAAAGUAUAGCCAUAGAGGGUGAUAGUCCCGUAUGCGAAAAACAAAGCUUAGCUAGCAGUAUCCUGAGUAGGGCGGGACACGAGGAAUCCUGUCUGAAUCCGGGUCGACCACGAUCCAACCCUAAAUACUAAUACCAGAUCGAUAGUGCACAAGUACCGUGAGGGAAAGGUGAAAAGAACUGAGGUGAUCAGAGUGAAAUAGAACCUGAAACCAUUUGCUUACAAUCAUUCAGAGCACUAUGUAGCAAUACAGUGUGAUGGACUGCCUUUUGCAUAAUGAGCCUGCGAGUUGUGGUGUCUGGCAAGGUUAAGCAAACGCGAAGCCGUAGCGAAAGCGAGUCUGAAUAGGGCGCUUAGUCAGAUGCUGCAGACCCGAAACGAAGUGAUCUAUCCAUGAGCAAGUUGAAGCUAGUGUAAGAACUAGUGGAGGACUGAACCCAUAGGCGUUGAAAAGCCCCGGGAUGACUUGUGGAUAGGGGUGAAAGGCCAAUCAAACUUCGUGAUAGCUGGUUCUCUCCGAAAUAUAUUUAGGUAUAGCGUUGUGUCGUAAUAUAAGGGGGUAGAGCACUGAAUGGGCUAGGGCAUACACCAAUGUACCAAACCCUAUCAAACUCCGAAUACCUUAUAUGUAAUCACAGCAGUCAGGCGGCGAGUGAUAAAAUCCGUCGUCGAGAGGGAAACAACCCAGACUACCAGCUAAGGUCCCUAAAUCUUACUUAAGUGGAAAACGAUGUGAAGUUACUUAAACAACCAGGAGGUUGGCUUAGAAGCAGCCAUCCUUUAAAGAAAGCGUAAUAGCUCACUGGUCUAGUGAUUUUGCGCGGAAAAUAUAACGGGGCUAAAGUAAGUACCGAAGCUGUAGACUUGCACACAACUUAGAUUAUUUAAGUUUAGAAUAUGAGAAACUAAGUUAUGUUUAGUUAUAUUUUUACUGAUUUUUAUAGAGUAAAGAUAGAAAUAAAACUUAGUAAAAUCAGUAAAAAUAUUCUUAGGCUAAAGUUAAGUAGUUUAAGUUGUGUGCAAGUGGUAGGAGAGCGUUCUAUUUGCGUCGAAGGUAUACCGGUAAGGAGUGCUGGAGCGAAUAGAAGUGAGCAUGCAGGCAUGAGUAGCGAUAAUUAAUGUGAGAAUCAUUAACGCCGUAAACCCAAGGUUUCCUACGCGAUGCUCGUCAUCGUAGGGUUAGUCGGGUCCUAAGUCGAGUCCGAAAGGGGUAGACGAUGGCAAAUUGGUUAAUAUUCCAAUACCAACAUUAGUGUGCGAUGGAAGGACGCUUAGGGCUAAGGGGGCUAGCGGAUGGAAGUGCUAGUCUAAGGUCGUAGGAGGUUAUACAGGCAAAUCCGUAUAACAAUACUCCGAGAACUGAAAGGCUUUUUGAAGUCUUCGGAUGGAUAGAAGAACCCCUGAUGCCGUCGAGCCAAGAAAAGUUUCUAAGUUUAGCUAAUGUUGCCCGUACCGUAAACCGACACAGGUGGGUGGGAUGAGUAUUCUAAGGCGCGUGGAAGAACUCUCUUUAAGGAACUCUGCAAAAUAGCACCGUAUCUUCGGUAUAAGGUGUGGUUAGCUUCGUACUAGGAUUUACUCCGAAAGCGAAGAAACUUACAACAAAGAGUCCCUCCCGACUGUUUACCAAAAACACAGCACUCUGCUAACUCGUAAGAGGAUGUAUAGGGUGUGACGCCUGCCCGGUGCUCGAAGGUUAAUUGAUGGGGUUAGCAUUAGCGAAGCUCUUGAUCGAAGCCCGAGUAAACGGCGGCCGUAACUAUAACGGUCCUAAGGUAGCGAAAUUCCUUGUCGGUUAAAUACCGACCUGCAUGAAUGGCGUAACGAGAUGGGAGCUGUCUCAAAGAGGGAUCCAGUGAAAUUGUAGUGGAGGUGAAAAUUCCUCCUACCCGCGGCAAGACGGAAAGACCCCGUGGACCUUUACUACAGCUUGACACUGCUACUUGGAUAAGAAUGUGCAGGAUAGGUGGGAGGCUUUGAGUAUAUGACGCCAGUUGUAUAUGAGCCAUUGUUGAGAUACCACUCUUUCUUAUUUGGGUAGCUAACCAGCUUGAGUUAUCCUCAAGUGGGACAAUGUCUGGUGGGUAGUUUGACUGGGGCGGUCGCCUCCCAAAUAAUAACGGAGGCUUACAAAGGUUGGCUCAGAACGGUUGGAAAUCGUUCGUAGAGUAUAAAGGUAUAAGCCAGCUUAACUGCAAGACAUACAAGUCAAGCAGAGACGAAAGUCGGUCUUAGUGAUCCGGUGGUUCUGUGUGGAAGGGCCAUCGCUCAAAGGAUAAAAGGUACCCCGGGGAUAACAGGCUGAUCUCCCCCAAGAGCUCACAUCGACGGGGAGGUUUGGCACCUCGAUGUCGGCUCAUCGCAUCCUGGGGCUGGAGCAGGUCCCAAGGGUAUGGCUGUUCGCCAUUUAAAGCGGUACGCGAGCUGGGUUCAGAACGUCGUGAGACAGUUCGGUCCCUAUCUGCCGUGGGCGUAAGAAGAUUGAAGAGAUUUGACCCUAGUACGAGAGGACCGGGUUGAACAAACCACUGGUGUAGCUGUUGUUCUGCCAAGAGCAUCGCAGCGUAGCUAAGUUUGGAAGGAUAAACGCUGAAAGCAUCUAAGCGUGAAGCCAACUCUAAGAUGAAUCUUCUCUAAGCUCUCUAGAAGACUACUAGUUUGAUAGGCUGGGUGUGUAAUGGAUGAAAGUCCUUUAGCUGACCAGUACUAAUAGAGCGUUUGGCUUAUCUUU